Molecule: non-coding RNA, 24 nt
Filed under: Cricetulus griseus (Chinese hamster)
Lineage: Eukaryota; Metazoa; Chordata; Mammalia; Rodentia; Cricetidae
Source: RNAcentral
AGUUUACUGGGAAAUGAGAUACAC